UACGGAGGGUGCAAACGUUGCUCGGAAUCAUUGGGCGUAAAGCGCACGUAGGCGGCCUGUUAAGUCGGAUGUGAAAGCCCCGGGCUCAACCCGGGAAGUGCAUACGAAACUGGCAGGCUUGAAUAUGGAAGAGGGUCGCGGAAUUCCCGGUGUAGAGGUGAAAUUCGUAGAUAUCGGGAGGAACACCAGUGGCGAAGGCGGCGACCUGGGCCAAAAUUGACGCUGAGGUGCGAAAGCGUGGGGAGCAAACAGG
RNAcentral lists this ribosomal RNA (253 nucleotides) under uncultured bacterium. RNAcentral describes it as "partial 16S ribosomal RNA". It matches the Rfam family "Bacterial small subunit ribosomal RNA", at positions 524 to 776 of the family's 1533-position model. The record is from RNAcentral.